AUACCGAGGGUGCAAGCGUUAAUCGGAUUUACUGGGCGUAAAGCGCGCGUAGGCGGCUAAUUAAGUCAAAUGUGAAAUCCCCGAGCUUAACUUGGGAAUUGCAUUCGAUACUGGUUAGCUAGAGUGUGGGAGAGGAUGGUAGAAUUCCAGGUGUAGCGGUGAAAUGCGUAGAGAUCUGGAGGAAUACCGAUGGCGAAGGCAGCCAUCUGGCCUAACACUGACGCUGAGGUGCGAAAGCAUGGGGAGCAAACAGGAUUAGAUACCCCCGUAGUCC
RNAcentral lists this ribosomal RNA (274 nucleotides) under uncultured bacterium. RNAcentral's name for it is "partial 16S ribosomal RNA". It matches the Rfam family "Bacterial small subunit ribosomal RNA", at positions 523 to 796 of the family's 1533-position model. The record is from RNAcentral.